This 71-nucleotide transfer RNA is filed under the name Camelus bactrianus (Bactrian camel). It matches the Rfam family "tRNA". Rfam says of the family: Transfer RNA (tRNA) molecules are approximately 80 nucleotides in length. The record is from Rfam by way of RNAcentral. Lineage: Eukaryota; Metazoa; Chordata; Mammalia; Artiodactyla; Camelidae. RNAcentral also lists the same sequence under 2 other names.
GAGGGUCUGGCUCAGUGGUAGAGCACAUGCUUAGCAUGCACGAGGUCCUGGGUUCAUUCCCUGGUACCUCC